AUGGGAGGGAAGAUUGGCUGUAUGAUCACUCAUGACAAGUGGGUAUUUGUUGGAAUCUCAAAAUCCGUGGAGGCAUGGAACAUACAGACAGGGAUGAAGCUAAGUCUUCAGGGACCUUCUGGGCUUGUUUGUUCCAUGACUAUCAAGGAUGAGAUGCUGUUUGCUGGCAUGGCGGACGGGCGCAUCAUGGCUUGGAAAUUUCCUGCUAAGGAGAUCAACUCGGAACUGGUGGCAAUCCUUGCUGGCCAUGACCGUCAUGUGAUUUCACUUGCUGUCUCAGCAACAAGGCUUUACUCUGGCUCACUUGACAAGACAAUCAGAGUAUGGGACCUUAAAAAUCUUCAGUGUGUCCAAACACUCUCUGAGCAUAAAGCUGCUGUUACUUCUGUGCUUUGUUGGGAUCAGAAGUUACUAUCUUGCUCUCUGGACAAGACCGUAAAGGUCUGGGCUGCUUCAGAAUCUGGAAGCCUUCAACUCAUGCAUACCCAUUCCGAGGAGCAUGGGCUACGCACCCUCUUUGGCAUGCAUCGUCCGGGAAAGACGCCGGUUCUGCUCUGCUCCCUCCACAAGAGCAGCCGCGUCCGCCUGUUGGACCUGCCAUCGUUCGAGGAGAUGGGCACGCUCUCCUCCAAAACAGAAGUGAAGACCAUCGAACUCUCCCAAGGAGGGCCAUCGAGGCUUCUCUUCACUGGAGAUGGCGCGGGCGAGCUCAAGGUGUGGAUGUGGGCGCCCCAGGGCGAGGAGUCCCCGACACCAGCGCUGCCAUAA
Molecule: ribosomal RNA, 768 nt
Filed under: Triticum aestivum (bread wheat)
Lineage: Eukaryota; Viridiplantae; Streptophyta; Magnoliopsida; Poales; Poaceae
Description: partial small subunit ribosomal RNA
Source: RNAcentral